RNAcentral lists this ribosomal RNA (244 nucleotides) under uncultured bacterium. RNAcentral's name for it is "partial 16S ribosomal RNA". It matches the Rfam family "Bacterial small subunit ribosomal RNA", at positions 112 to 353 of the family's 1533-position model. The record is from RNAcentral.
AACGCGUGGGUAACCUGCCUUGUACUGGGGGAUAGCAGCUGGAAACGGCUGGUAAUACCGCAUAAGCGCACAAUGUUGCAUGACAUGGUGUGAAAAACUCCGGUGGUAUAAGAUGGACCCACCGUCUGAUUAGCUAGUUGGUGAGAUAACAGCCCACCAAGGCGACGAUCAGUAGCCGACCUGAGAGGAUGACCGGCCACAUUGGGACUGAGACACGGCCCAGACUCCUACGGGAGGCAGCAUG